RNAcentral lists this ribosomal RNA (489 nucleotides) under uncultured bacterium. RNAcentral's name for it is "partial 16S ribosomal RNA". It matches the Rfam family "Bacterial small subunit ribosomal RNA", at positions 29 to 507 of the family's 1533-position model. The record is from RNAcentral.
AUGAACGCUAGCGAUAGGCUUCACACAUGCAAGUCGAGGGGCAGCAUGGUCUUAGCUUGCUAAGACUGAUGGCGACCGGCGCACGGGUGCGUAACGCGUAUGCAACUUGCCUCACAGAGGGGGAUAACCCGUCGAAAGACGGACUAAUACCGCGUACACUCCAUCUUGGGCAUCCAAGGUAGAGGAAAUGAAAUUCGCUGUGAGAUAGGCAUGCGUCCCAUUAGCUAGUUGGUGAGGUAACGGCUCACCAAGGCGACGAUGGGUAGGGGAACUGAGAGGUUGAACCCCCACACUGGUACUGAGACACGGACCAGACUCCUACGGGAGGCAGCAGUGAGGAAUAUUGGUCAAUGGGCGAGAGCCUGAACCAGCCAAGUCGCGUGAAGGAUGACUGUCUUAUGGAUUGUAAACUUCUUUUAUACGGGAAUAACAAGAGUCACGUGUGACUCCCUGCAUGUACCGUAUGAAUAAGCAUCGGCUAACUCCGUG